This 629-nucleotide long non-coding RNA is filed under the name Spirodela polyrhiza (greater duckweed). RNAcentral describes it as "long non-coding RNA (SPOL_LNC001007)". The record is from RNAcentral. Lineage: Eukaryota; Viridiplantae; Streptophyta; Magnoliopsida; Alismatales; Araceae.
AUACACAGACACCGCGAGAGAGACAGAGAGGACCGCUCGAAGCCUACCCGACCCUCUCCGGGAGAAGGUGGUGGUCCUUGCUCUUUAAUCCUCUUCUAACUCUCCUCGGUCGCCUGGAACCGCCGCCGGCGUCCGCACAGAGUAGCCCUUCCUGCCGUGGCUUGGGCUCGAGAGGCCCCCCAGAUAUGGCGAUGAAGGCCGCCACUAGUUGCUCCACUUUGACGCCACCGGCGGCGGUUCCUCUGCCGCUCCGGCCUCGGCCGCGGAGGCUUCUCGCCGGCAGCGCUUCCCUCAAAACGUCUUUCUUCAACGGUGGGGGUGAGCGUUUCAUGUCUUUCCCCAUGGUUUGGGCUCGCCGAUCAUUAUUAUUAUUGACCGUUAUCAUCAUCGUCGUCGUCGUCGUCGUUACUAGUUUUUUUUCUCGUUUCCUGUACCUGCGUGCGUUCGGAAUUCCAUUCUGUCUGGUCUUGUGUCAGAAUAGCCACGGUGCGUGUUUCCUCCGUCUGUCCUGGUCGAGCGACUCUUCCUUUAUUUAAUUCCACGCUAAUUGUACAAGCUUUUGUGCAAUAUGGACAGGCGCGACCUUUGGGAAAUGAUGCCGUUUUUUUUGUUCAUCGCUAUCAUGGGAC